GUGCCUCAUGCGGCCUGAUCAUCCCCCGUAUAUAUAGGACCCGGUGACGACUGGUCCUCUGCCAGUUCGUUGAGCUUUAUGUCCCGUUCCAGCACUCUCGUACUCCUGACUGAACCUGUGUGUACCGACCUUCGUCCGUUCUCCGACCAACCCUAAUACAAUGCGUUUUCCAUCCAUCCAUUUUCUUCACCGCUUAUCCUCACGAGGUGUGCUGGAGCCUAUCCCAGCUGUCAACAGGCAGGAGGUGGGAGGAAACCGGAGUGCCCAGAGGAAACACAUGCAGGCACGGGGAGAACAUGCAGACUGUAGACAGCUGGGUCCGGGAUUGAACCCGGGACCUCAGAACUGUGAGGCCAACGCUUUAACCGGGGGACCCACCGUGCCGCCACAAUGCACUCACUGAAUCACUGAAUUACUGAAUUAUAAAAAAAUAAUGGCGGCCGACAAGCCCCCCAUUAAGAAAUAAUGUAUAUUCAGCACUUUGUAAAGACCCGCUUAACUUCUGUGCUUAGCUCUUCAUAUUGAACUUCAACUUGUUGGCGUGACUGACAAAUUUGAGCAAAUUCGUGCGGCGACAGGAAGAUUUUUGUUUUUUUGGCAAGAGUCAGGACUCAUGAAAUCAAACAAUGUAAAUAGCUUAACAGCAUGAGAGGAGCUACUGAUAGACAGAUAGGAGCAGUUGGCGGAAAGGGAUGGGAGAGGUAAGGAGACAGGGACACAAGCAGCACUCCAGCCCACAGACGAGGUUGACAUGCCAGAGGGGGGCCGGGACAAGCAUCCCAUAAAGCAGAUAAAGAACAAUUCCAGGAACAACAAGGCUGUAGCCUCUCCUUGGAUGAGAAGAAUAGAAAGACCGACGCACAUGCUGGAUGAAGAGGACGGGGUGAACUUGAAUGCAGCAGGGAAAAUGGAGUCACAAAGUCAUUUGCUAAACAUAAAACAGUUGCCAUCAAAGCGACAAAAUUGCUUAUUGUCUGCCAAGGAUACGUUAGGCUUAACAGACAUACAGCAUAAGUCACUAAGGUAAUAUUUAUAAUAUGUGUAGUUAAAAGAUGAACUUGAGCAAUUUAGAUUUGUAUAAAUGAUAUCCUCUGGUAACGAAAGUAGAUACACACCCAAGUUAAAAUGUCAAUUGGCCAUUUUCCCUCUCUGUGGCAUGUGACUCAGUAAUGUAAGUCUUAGUUGUGAAUGGAUUUGCGCAUUUGGUGGCAUGGCAAUGAACUCUGAGGCGUUUAAAAAAAAAAAAAAACUUUUGCGCUAAAGUGCAGUUCAGAUGGCCUAGGUUAGAAGUAUUCAAAUUCAAAUCUUAAUGAACUGCAAUUUGUUUUUUUGAUGAGUCAAAGAUCCAUUUUUU
Long non-coding RNA from Syngnathoides biaculeatus (alligator pipefish), 1354 nucleotides. RefSeq lists it as uncharacterized. Lineage: Eukaryota; Metazoa; Chordata; Actinopteri; Syngnathiformes; Syngnathidae. The transcript is spliced from 3 exons. The record is from RefSeq and is a predicted model, not a curated record.